This is a non-coding RNA of Pelobates cultripes (western spadefoot toad), 377 nucleotides long. The record is from the annotation of a GenBank genome assembly. NCBI's taxonomy places the organism in Eukaryota, Metazoa, Chordata, Amphibia, Anura, Pelobatidae.
CUUUAUUAAGCAAGAUGCUCUAGUACUUUCUCGCACUGAUUACUGCAAUUCUCUCAGAGAACUUCUCACAGCGUAUCCUUUUCAUUUGGAUCAGCCUGCCUUCCCCGAUCAGACUCUACCCUAGUCUUCAAUCAUUUAAGAAGUCCUCAAAACGCAUCUCUUCAGAAAAGCUUAUUUCCUCCCAGAGUAACUUCUAUUUCACAAACCUGCCUGUUGGCGCUCUCCUAAAGGGCCACAAUGCACUCUUACCUCCAAUUUUGCUACCUUCCCACCUUGUUGUUUGGUUGCUACCCCAUCAAAGCCCUUCAGAUUGUGUCUUUAUAUCCCAGCUCCUCUAGACUGUAAGCUCAGUUGAGCAGUGUCCUAAUCAACCUAUU